ACUCUCGUAGUUCAAUGGAUAAAACACAGGAUUCCGGUUCCUGCAUUGCGGGUUCGAGUCCCGCCGAGAGUA
RNAcentral lists this transfer RNA (72 nucleotides) under Bacteroidales bacterium. Its description in RNAcentral is "tRNA-Arg". It matches the Rfam family "tRNA". From Rfam's summary of the family: Transfer RNA (tRNA) molecules are approximately 80 nucleotides in length. Their secondary structure includes four short double-helical elements and three loops (D, anti-codon, and T loops). The record is from RNAcentral. Lineage: Bacteria; Pseudomonadati; Bacteroidota; Bacteroidia; Bacteroidales.